Molecule: small nucleolar RNA, 132 nt
Organism: Rhinopithecus bieti (black snub-nosed monkey)
Lineage: Eukaryota; Metazoa; Chordata; Mammalia; Primates; Cercopithecidae
Gene: U8
Rfam family: U8 small nucleolar RNA
About the family: U8 is a member of the C/D class of snoRNA which contain the C (UGAUGA) and D (CUGA) box motifs. U8 is the RNA component of a small complex (the U8 snoRNP) which is required for accumulation of mature large subunit ribosomal RNAs, 5.8S and 28S rRNAs. U8 RNA has been identified in human, mouse, rat and Xenopus.
Source: Ensembl
UCAUCAGAUGGGAUAAUUUUUACCUGUUCCUCCUUUUGGAGGUUAGCUUCGAAUACGAUGAUUGGAGUUCAUAUGGUACAUGAUUAAUGUCUCUGCAUAAUCAGGACUUGCAACACCUUGAUUGCUCCUGAU